UCUGCAUUGUUCUUUCAGUAUUUUAGGAUAGUAACAAUGAAAAUUACUAAUUUAAAGCGGUGAUGUGUUGGGGAAAUAUCUACAUAGGUUCGGAUGCUUUGAAUCUCGGUUGCCAACUCAUUUGUUGUGUGCUGCUUUUGGUUAUCACAGUAGUUGUGCUGAUUUUCCUGUUAGCAACUGAUACUAUAUAAUUGAAGCGACAAUGGACAAGGUAACACUUCACACGGGCGACGUGAAAAGGAAAUCGCCGAUCAAAAAUUCUGUUUGUUCGCAAUGCGGGGUCGUCACUGGAAUAUAUUAUCUAGGGGAUGUUUGUGAAAUCGUGCAAAAUGUUGUCAUAACGUUCUACUGCCGAGUUGGAUUAUUAAAAUUAAU
Molecule: long non-coding RNA, 375 nt
Organism: Ostrinia furnacalis (Asian corn borer)
Lineage: Eukaryota; Metazoa; Arthropoda; Insecta; Lepidoptera; Crambidae
Exons: 3
Source: RefSeq, a predicted model, not a curated record